This 801-nucleotide non-coding RNA is filed under the name Symploce tubercularis. Its description in RNAcentral is "12S ribosomal RNA". The stretch from base 389 to 793 matches the Rfam family "Microsporidia small subunit ribosomal RNA", at positions 752 to 1303 of the family's 1311-position model. Lineage: Eukaryota; Metazoa; Arthropoda; Insecta; Blattodea; Blattellidae. The record is from RNAcentral.
UAAAAGUUUUAUUCUUGCUUGGAAAUUUAUUUUAACAUUACUAUAUAUGUAAGUUUUUGCGUAAUUUAUUAAUCUUAAUGGUUAAUAUAAUAAGUUGAUUUUGCAGUAUGGAAUAUUAUAAAUUUAAUGAAUUUUGAUUUAGUAAUUGUUAAUAAAUGUUGAUAAAAUAUGUGCCAGCAGUCGCGGUUAUACAUAAAAUAUAAGUAAAUGUUUUCAGUUAAGAUAGUUAAUUGUAUAUAAUUUGAAUUUAGGUUGAAUAUUAUUGGGUGAAAUGUUAAUAUUUGGUUGAGAUUUAAUUUAAAUUGAUUAUGGUUUGAAGCUGUGAAAUCUAAAUUAUUUAAACUAGGAUUAGAUACCCUAUUAUUUUAGAUGUAAAUUAAUUAAACUUGAGUAGUAGUAGUUAAGGUCUUGAAACUUAAAGAAUUUGGCGGUAUUUUAGUCUAUUUAGAGGAAUCUGUUCCAUAAUCGAUAAUCCACGUUGGACCUUACUUAAUUUAUUAAAUAUGUAUACCGCCGUUGUUGAAAAUCUUUUUAGGGGAAAAAUUUUUAUAAUAUUUGUUAAAUAAUUUUUCAGGUCAAGGUGCAGUUUAUAGUUAAGUGGAAAUGGAUUACAAUAUUUUAAUAUAUACGAAUUAUUAUUUGAAAUUAAUGAUAUGAAGGUGGAUUUAAUAGUAAUGUUAUUAAGAUUAAUAGCGUGAUUGUAGCUCUAGAAUAUGUACACAUCGCCCGUCGCUCUCGUUAUAUUAAGGCGAGAUAAGUCGUAACAUAGUAGUUGUACCGGAAGGUGUAACUAGAAUGAAU